UACGUAGGGGGCAAGCGUUGUCCGGAUUUAUUGGGCGUAAAGAGCUCGUAGGCGGUUCGUCGCGUCGGCUGUGAAAACCUGAGGCUCAACCUCAGGCCUGCAGUCGAUACGGGCGGACUUGAGUACUGCAGGGGAGACUGGAAUUCCUGGUGUAGCGGUGAAAUGCGCAGAUAUCAGGAGGAACACCGGUGGCGAAGGCGGGUCUCUGGGCAGUAACUGACGCUGAGGAGCGAAAGCGUGGGGAGCGAACAGG
Molecule: ribosomal RNA, 253 nt
Filed under: uncultured bacterium
Lineage: Bacteria
Description: partial 16S ribosomal RNA
Rfam family: Bacterial small subunit ribosomal RNA
Source: RNAcentral